This 1611-nucleotide long non-coding RNA is filed under the name Oryza sativa tropical japonica subgroup. Its description in RNAcentral is "lncRNA OsCMeo_11g0020200". The record is from RNAcentral. Lineage: Eukaryota; Viridiplantae; Streptophyta; Magnoliopsida; Poales; Poaceae.
GCGAUCAUAUAGAAGUAUGGAACUUAGUAUGGUUCAGGUUUUGUAAACCAAUUGUUGCUGAUAAAUCAUCGAAAUCUCCCAAGAAAUCAUCGAAAUCUCCCGAGAAAUCAUCCAUCCAUCCUCUACGUUCCCGAUCCACCGAUGGACCUGGACCUGGACCGCAAGCAAAUCAAGCGUUGCGUCGUCGCCUUCCUGCCGCCGCCGGAGGAGGAGGAUGCCGGUGAGGAGAUCCGUGUGGUGCCGUGCCCUGCCGCUGCUGCGGAGGAGGAGAGGCGGCGAUCUUCCAAGAGGAAGGGGAAGAGGUGCGCCUCCAAUGGAAGCAAGCCUGCGGGGACGCUGGUGCCGGCCGACGGCGAGGAGAUGAUCCUCGUCCCGCCCGGGAAGCUCGCGCUGUCCAAGAAUCUGGUCGACAAGAUCCUCUCCCUGGAGAGGAUGGAGCUGCCCCACGUCGCCGACAUCGUCGACGACGGCAACCCGAACCCGUCGGAGGCGGACAAGGCGCUCAGGAGGUGCGUGCUCGACCUGGACAGGGACAACAAGAGGCACCAGGACAAGCUCGCCGCGUGCCAGGCGAUCAUACGGAGCGUUCGCCAUGGCAAGGGCUACGCCGUCGUCGACAACCGCCUCGACUUCAGGGUCGCCGUGUGCAGGGCCGAGGGCGUCUUCCUGCUCCCCUGCCAUGUCGCCGAUCUUAUCCCCGUGGGAUUUGAUCUUGUCUCCAAUUGAGUACUCCCUCCAUCAUAAAAUUUUUAUAGCAAUCUUAUACCGGAUGUUCUACUACAACAAAUCCUAGAUGUCUUAGUACAACAAAUCGGACAGUAGUAUAUUCAGAUUCGUUGUACUGGAUGGACACAUCCUAGGACAAUAAAUCGGUUGCCAUAUUUUGGGACGGAGGGAACAAAGUAUUUUGGGUGAACGUGACAUAUUCUAAGACAAUAAAGCUAGACAAAUUCUCUUACCAGAUUUAUUGGACAAAUGUGACAUAUGCACCUAAAAUUUCUUAUAUUUUUCACAAUGAAUGCAACUAAAUCUUGACAAGACAAGGAUGCGUAUUUCCAUUUACUAGUACAUGGUCUUCUUAAGUACCACGAUUUGUUAACAUAACAUGGCACCCAUGACAAACAAUGGGAAGAAAUCCCACAUCAUGAAGUAAACAAACACUUUUGGCCCUGUUUUUUUUCUCCAAUAAAAAUUAGAUUAAAUUUUAGAUACUUGUGGCACGCUUUUUAAAUUGUUAAACAAUGUGUUUCGUAUAAAACUUUAUAUAUGAAAGUUGUUCUAAAAUAUAAGAUUAAUCCAUUUAUCAAGUUUGUAAUAAUUAAAACUCAAUAGAUCACACGUUAUUACCAUAUCGUUUUGCGUGAAACACUUAAUCUUCAUCUCCAGGAGAUUCAAACAUCAUCAGUACUGUCUUAGGCUUGAUAGAAAAUAUACUACUUCCUCCUUUGUGUUCCUUCGAUCCAAAGUGUAAACAUUUUUAUAUGUUUUCACAUAAUUAAGAAAUUAGCACUAGUAAAAAACUAUCACGGGUGCCGGUUAGGAACUAUGAUCGGCACCAACAUUAGCAACCUGUAUUAAAAAUAAAACCGGCAUCUAUAUGUUUGCACAAGC